Harmonia axyridis is the source of this 314-nucleotide long non-coding RNA. RefSeq lists it as uncharacterized. NCBI's taxonomy places the organism in Eukaryota, Metazoa, Arthropoda, Insecta, Coleoptera, Coccinellidae. The record is from RefSeq and is a predicted model, not a curated record. The transcript has 2 exons.
GCGUGCGUUGAACGCUUGCCAUGUGAACCUACGGUUAGUGAAAAACGAUAAAGAACAUUUCACAUGCCACUAGCCCACUACAAUAAUUUGUAAAGACAAUAUUCUUGGUUUAUUAUAAUAAUAUAAUAACCACUUUAUUUCCAUAAGCUAGAAUGUUCACGUAUAUUUUGGAAGAUCACCUAAAGAGGUUAGGACAUGUCAUGACCACAGAAUUCAAUAAAACCCAUAAAUGUGAAUUAUCAAAUUUACCUUAUAUUUACCAAUUAAUAUUGUAUAACAUUGUAUUAAAAUAGACUAAUAGACAGAUAAAAAUU